Molecule: long non-coding RNA, 382 nt
Organism: Pyrgilauda ruficollis (rufous-necked snowfinch)
Lineage: Eukaryota; Metazoa; Chordata; Aves; Passeriformes; Passeridae
Exons: 3
Source: RefSeq, a predicted model, not a curated record
UGCCCCUGGCUCUGUGCAGACCGUGGUGGCUGCAAAGGACCUGGGUCCCAGGGACCCUGCCCUGGGGCUCACCCCACCAUCCCCCUCUCCUAGGUGCGGGCUCUUUGCCAGGAGCUGCGUGAGGAGGUCAACGAGGUGAAGUUGCAGCAGUCCCACAUGGCAGAGGACAUGCAGUACAUGCUACAGAAUUUUAACAUGGAAGAAUUCCAGAAAAUGAUGGAUGAACUCCGUAACCAGCUGUUGGAGUCUCUCAUGUCUGCCAUGAAGAACAUGAUGGGUGGACCCAGCUCCCGAGACAAGAAGUCUGGCCCCCAGCUCCUAGAGGAGGAUGACCAAGGGCUGAUUGUCAUCGGCAACGAAAGUACCUCUGGGCACAGCUGGG